UACGUAGGUGGCGAGCGUUGUCCGGAAUUAUUGGGCGUAAAGCGCGCGCAGGCGGGAAAGUAAGUCUACUCUAAAAGUGCGGGGCUCAACCCCGUGAAGGGGUGGAAACUGCUAUUCUUGAGUACCGGAGAGGAAAGUGGAAUUCCCAGUGUAGCGGUGAAAUGCGUAGAUAUUGGGAGGAACACCAGUGGCGAAGGCGACUUUCUGGACGGUGUCUGACGCUGAGGCGCGAAAGCCAGGGGAGCGAACGGG
RNAcentral lists this ribosomal RNA (252 nucleotides) under uncultured bacterium. RNAcentral describes it as "partial 16S ribosomal RNA". It matches the Rfam family "Bacterial small subunit ribosomal RNA", at positions 524 to 776 of the family's 1533-position model. The record is from RNAcentral.